This 500-nucleotide ribosomal RNA is filed under the name uncultured bacterium. RNAcentral describes it as "bacterial SSU rRNA". It matches the Rfam family "Bacterial small subunit ribosomal RNA", at positions 28 to 521 of the family's 1533-position model. The record is from RNAcentral.
GACGAACGCUGGCGGCGUGGAUUAGGCAUGCAAGUCGAACGGUAUCAUCCUUUCGGGGGUGAGAGAGUGGCGAACUGGUGAGUAACACGUAGGUUAUCUACCCUCAAGACGGGGACAACCCAGGGAAACUUGGGCUAAUACCGGAUGUGAGCAACUUUUAGUUGUUUGAAAGGUGGCGUAAGCUGUCGCUUGGGGAUGAGCCUGCGUCCUAUUAGUUAGUUGGUGAGGUAACGGCUCACCUAGGCAAUGAUAGGUAGGCGGCCUUAACGGGUGGUCGCCCACACUGGGAUUGAGAUACGGCCCAGACUCCUACGGGAGCAGCAGUCGAGAAUAGUCUACAAUGGUCGGAAGACUGAUAGUGCGACGCCGCGUGAACGAUGAAUCCCUUCGGGUGUAAAGUUCUUUUAUAUGUGAGCAGUGCUUCUUAUAUUAACAGUAUGGGGAGAGAGAUAUUAGCAUAUGAAUAAGCAACGGCUAACUCCGUGCCAGCAGCCGACGGU